Molecule: ribosomal RNA, 258 nt
Filed under: Protocruzia adhaerens
Lineage: Eukaryota; Ciliophora; Spirotrichea
Description: Protocruzia adherens partial Bacterial small subunit ribosomal RNA
Rfam family: Bacterial small subunit ribosomal RNA
Source: RNAcentral
GGUAAUACGGAGGGUGCAAGCGUUGUCCGGAUUUAUUGGGUUUAAAGGGUGCGUAGGCGGAAUAUUAAGUCAGUGGUGAAAGCCCACAGCUCAACUGUGGAACUGCCAUUGAUACUGGUAUUCUUGAAUUCAGUUAAGGUAGGCGGAAUUGAUGGUGUAGCGGUGAAAUGCAUAGAUAUUACGAAGAACAUCAGUGGCGAAGGCGGCCUGCUGGUCUACAACUGACGCUGAGGCACGAAAGCGUGGGGAGCGAACAGG